Molecule: ribosomal RNA, 663 nt
Filed under: Triticum aestivum (bread wheat)
Lineage: Eukaryota; Viridiplantae; Streptophyta; Magnoliopsida; Poales; Poaceae
Description: partial small subunit ribosomal RNA
Source: RNAcentral
AUGGCCGUGGAUUGCUUCUUCCGCGCCUACGGGCUGGCCGUCGUCAACACCGUCUACGUCGGCGGCACGGCCAUGAUCCUCUACGGGCUCGUCAUCCUGGAGCGGAAGCCCCAGCGCAACAGGGGCUCCAUCAUCGUGCUCACGCUCUUCCUCCUCCUCUGGGUCUGCCUCGGCGCCACCGUGUACACGGCCUUCUGCGGCGUCCUCUUCCCAUGGUCGGCGCUGCGCCGGUGCCUGGCCUCCACCCACAGGGCGCUCCUGCGGCACCUCCGUUCCGCGGGCCGGCUUCUCUGCCUGCCGUGCCGGUGCGCGCGCACCAGGCUACGGCGCCGAAGCGGUAGCGGUAGAACCGCUCUGCCGCAGUUUCUGGACCGGAUACAGGGCCACAUGCCCGUGCUGGCCCGGGAGCCGCCGGUGCAUGGCGGCGCGCGGGCGGCCACGGCGUAUGACAUCCUGGCGUACGAGCAGCCGGAGGGCGGCGGCGGCGCGUCGGACUGCGCUGUCUGCCUCGGGGAGGUGGAGAAGGGGGAUGCCGUGAAGCGGCUGCCGGCGUGCCUGCACUUGUUCCACCAGCAGUGCAUCAACGCGUGGCUGCACGAGCAUUCGACGUGCCCAGUCUGCCGGUGCAUCGUCUUCGCGCCAUUGCCGGCCCAAAUGGUAUGA